This 429-nucleotide ribosomal RNA is filed under the name Gemmatimonadota bacterium. RNAcentral's name for it is "Gemmatimonadetes bacterium partial 16S ribosomal RNA". It matches the Rfam family "Bacterial small subunit ribosomal RNA", at positions 355 to 776 of the family's 1533-position model. Lineage: Bacteria; Pseudomonadati; Gemmatimonadota. The record is from RNAcentral.
UAGGGAAUCUUCGGCAAUGGACGAAAGUCUGACCGAGCAACGCCGCGUGAGUGAAGAAGGUUUUCGGAUCGUAAAACUCUGUUGUUAGAGAAGAACAAGGACGUUAGUAACUGAACGUCCCCUGACGGUAUCUAACCAGAAAGCCACGGCUAACUACGUGCCAGCAGCCGCGGUAAUACGUAGGUGGCAAGCGUUGUCCGGAUUUAUUGGGCGUAAAGCGAGCGCAGGCGGUUUCUUAAGACUGAUGUGAAAGCCCCCGGCUCAACCGGGGAGGGUCAUUGGAAACUGGGAGACUUGAGUGCAGAAGAGGAGAGUGGAAUUCCAUGUGUAGCGGUGAAAUGCGUAGAUAUAUGGAGGAACACCAGUGGCGAAGGCGGCUCUCUGGUCUGUAACUGACGCUGAGGCUCGAAAGCGUGGGGAGCAAACAGG